Molecule: long non-coding RNA, 586 nt
Filed under: Lathyrus oleraceus (garden pea)
Lineage: Eukaryota; Viridiplantae; Streptophyta; Magnoliopsida; Fabales; Fabaceae
Description: Pisum sativum (pea) long non-coding RNA (PSAT_LNC033344)
Source: RNAcentral
AACAAAAGCAAGAACGGGUUGCCACGGAUUCAUCACCGAAUCGAAUCAACAUAGUAACCUAAACCACCGGAGGACUCUUCUUGUGCGUGGAUAAAAGAAGGCGAAGAGAAGAACUUACCAGCGGAAGAGGAGUUCAAAACAGUUGGAAGGCUGAGAAGGGUCCAGAAGAUUUGUUGUGGAGGUUAGUUCCUAUUAUGGAGGAUUGCAGGGUGAUGCUUAAUGGAUGCUGAAGAUUGAAGAUUAAAAACUGGGAGGCAGAAAGAAGAUGAAGGAAGCAGAAUGAAGAAAAAAAUGCAGCAAUCCCCUCAGAAUUACAGUGAGGUUAGUUUAUAUAGAGUUUUAGAAUUUGUUAGAUUCUGUUAGGUUUGUUAGUUAUGAAUGAAUCCAGUUAUGGUUAAGGAGUUGUUGAGAGCGAAAAAUUAUGUUAUGUGAUGCUAUGAGUUAGUUACAUGGAAACGGUCAGAUUACUUUUAUCAGAAAUUCUGUUAGAUAGUUAUAUGAAGUUAGAAAUUCUGAAAUUCAAAGUGAAAUGCAACGUAUUUGGUUUAAACAAUGAGGUUAUUAGUUAUGAAAUUGUAGUUUAUUA